UUUAAAUUUAUGCUGGACAUUGCAUAAAAUGGAAAAUAGAGGUUAAAGUAAUAUUUGCUCCCAACAAAGGACACAUCCUACAGGAAGCUGAUGAUGGAGUCUUGCUGUGUUGACCAUGCUGAAGUGCAGUGGCUGCUCACAGGCACGAUCAUAGUGUACAACAGCCUCCAAUUCCUGGGCUCAAGUGAUCUUCCUGCCUCAGCCUACUGAGUAGCUGGGACUACAGUUCCUUACAGAUCCCCAGAGUGACUUUUCCAAGAGACUUGCGCGGAAUUCGCAAGGCUUUUUAUGACCUAGCCCUGGAAUUUAUUCAGCAUCCCUUCUGCUGUAUUCCACG
Pan troglodytes (chimpanzee) is the source of this 337-nucleotide long non-coding RNA. RefSeq lists it as uncharacterized. NCBI's taxonomy places the organism in Eukaryota, Metazoa, Chordata, Mammalia, Primates, Hominidae. The transcript is spliced from 3 exons. The record is from RefSeq and is a predicted model, not a curated record.